Molecule: ribosomal RNA, 403 nt
Filed under: uncultured bacterium
Lineage: Bacteria
Description: bacterial SSU rRNA
Rfam family: Bacterial small subunit ribosomal RNA
Source: RNAcentral
UAGGGAAUAUUGCAAAAUGGGCGCAAGCCCGAUGCAGCAACGCCGCGUGGGCGAUGAAGGCCUUCGGGUCGUAAAGCCCUUUUUGAGGGGAUGAGGAAGGACAGUACCCUCAGAAUAAGCCUCGGCUAACUACGUGCCAGCAGCCGCGGUAAAACGUAGGAGGCGAGCGUUAUCCGGAUUUACUGGGCGUAAAGCGCGUGCAGGCGGAUUGGAGAGUUGGAUGUAAAAGCUCCCGGCUUAACUGGGAGAGGUCGUUCAAUACUUCCAGUCUUGAGUGCAGUAGAGGGAAGUGGAAUUCCGGGUGUAGUGGUGAAAUGCGUAGAUAUCCGGAGGAACACCAGUGGCGAAAGCGGCUUCCUGGACUGUAACUGACGCUCAGACGCGAAAGCUAGGGUAGCAAACG